GAUGUUUUGCUGCGCAAGCACCGCACAAUCCGAAACGCGUUGGGCGUAGCAAUCCCUGUUCCAGGAACGGCGGACGAGUUUCUCGAGACUGCUGUCGAUCGCCUCUUCGCUACCGACCGCCUGUUUGUUCCGUCGGUGGAAGGGGAGCAAGGCCAUAUCGAUUUGGACGACGAUGUCGCCUACGCAACCAAUAAAGUUCAAUUGUUUGAGGAAUGGGAUGACGCUGCCGAAAGCGAGCAACAAUCUAAGACUCGGUACGCCCAGCGCACAGUACAUACAGACGAGGUCCGACGCGAGCUGGCAGCUGUGCGAGAGGCGAUCGGUGGCGGAGCUGACGUAGCCAAAUUCAUUGCGCUUGCGAUUAGGG
RNAcentral lists this unclassified non-coding RNA (367 nucleotides) under plant metagenome. Its description in RNAcentral is "partial contains 5.8S ribosomal RNA, internal transcribed spacer 2, and large subunit ribosomal RNA". The record is from RNAcentral.